Molecule: ribosomal RNA, 470 nt
Filed under: uncultured bacterium
Lineage: Bacteria
Description: bacterial SSU rRNA
Rfam family: Bacterial small subunit ribosomal RNA
Source: RNAcentral
GGAUGAAGGCCCUCGGGUUGUAAACUGCUUUUGUACAGAACGAAAAGGUUUCUACUAAUACUAGGAGCUCAUGACGGUACUGUAAGAAUAAGCACCGGCUAACUACGUGCCAGCAGCCGCGGUAAUACGUAGGGUGCAAGCGUUAAUCGGAAUUACUGGGCGUAAAGCGUGCGCAGGCGGUUAUAUAAGUCAGAUGUGAAAUCCCCGGGCUCAACCUGGGAACUGCAUUUGAGACUGUAUAGCUAGAGUACGGCAGAGGGGGAUGGAAUUCCGCGUGUAGCAGUGAAAUGCGUAGAUAUGCGGAGGAACACCGAUGGCGAAGGCAAUCCCCUGGGCCUGUACUGACGCUCAUGCACGAAAGCGUGGGGAGCAAACAGGAUUAGAUACCCUGGUAGUCCACGCCCUAAACGAUGUCAACUGGUUGUUGGGUCUUAACUGACUCAGUAACGAAGCUAACGCGUGAAGUUGAC